UUAAGAAGGACCUGGAAAAGUAUCCAAGGAUUCAAGACGAGAAACGAGCUCAUUUUCGACAAGGAUUUCGAGAAGCAUAAGGGAGUCUUUUUAGCCAAGGAAGCUAGGCUAGAAGCCAGUCAAUGAUGACUGUAAGUGGUUCUUCUCAUUAAAAAGAAUUUCUCGAAUGUAUUUAAAUCCUUAAAUCUAUUUCUAUGAAAACCACGAUGACGUGAAGUUCCUCUUGCUUUAAAUUUUCAAAAUGAGUGACAUGUGAAUGAACUAAAAAACUAGAAUGAGGAAAUAAACUACUCAUGUGGAACAACAUUUUAACUUCUAACAAAAAGAAAUGAUUUUAAAACCAAUUACUCAUGAUUUUAUAUGGUAAAUAUGUUGUAACAUGUGAUAGGUGACCUUUGUUAUUAUGAUGUUGGCAUCAUUUGAAGGAUGGAAAUGCUUAUGUAAUGUUAAAAAGUUAAAUGAGACUAUCUUUGUACCCUACGCGAUAUAAUUCCUUAUCCUUGUUGUGUGAUCUAGGAUAAGAUGCUCUAUUCUUGCUGUGUGAUCUUGAAUAACAUGCCCUAUUCUUGUUGUGUGUUCUUGAAUAGGAUGUCUCAUACUUGCCAAUGAUGUGUUAAUACAAAAUGGGUCACACAAGUUCAAAUUCAAGUUAAUUGGUGAUGUUGUCGAUGGUCUAUUACAGUUUAUGAAGAAGUUCAUGCAGAUAAAAUGUUGUUGAAAAAGCAUAAACGUUAAGCUUAAGCAUAUGAAAAACGUAGCAGGUUCAUCAAAGAGCUUUAGAUGAUCAAUUGUUGAUGUAAUCUUUCUUAUAAGAGGGAGACGACGACUUCCUCUAAAGAAGACGAAAUUCAUCCUUAUGGCAUGUUUGCGUUAUACUAUGAUGAAGGAUGUCAUAUUAGCAGUUUCAACACGAGGCAUUGACUUACUAGUUAUGCAAGGUGUGUGGUGGAAGCUAUGUCGUCGAAGGUUGAAUAACUUUUGGGUGAGCCAAGUAGGUGAAAAUUUACAACAUAAAUUUUAGCAAGGUUUAGCAACAUGCGACAAAAAAAAAAAAAACUUAGAAGGUGGGUAUGGUGGACUAAAUUAUAGUACUCUAAUUUCAAAAUAU
This 1108-nucleotide long non-coding RNA is filed under the name Cucumis sativus (cucumber). RNAcentral describes it as "long non-coding RNA (CSAT_LNC003209)". The record is from RNAcentral. Lineage: Eukaryota; Viridiplantae; Streptophyta; Magnoliopsida; Cucurbitales; Cucurbitaceae.